RNAcentral lists this ribosomal RNA (576 nucleotides) under uncultured Bacteroidota bacterium. Its description in RNAcentral is "bacterial SSU rRNA". It matches the Rfam family "Bacterial small subunit ribosomal RNA", at positions 338 to 916 of the family's 1533-position model. Lineage: Bacteria; Pseudomonadati; Bacteroidota. The record is from RNAcentral.
CCUACGGGAGGCAGCAGUGAGGAAUAUUGGACAAUGGGCGAGAGCCUGAUCCAGCCAUGCCGCGUGCAGGAAGACUGCCCUAUGGGUUGUAAACUGCUUUUAUACAGGAAGAAUAAGCCUUACGUGUAAGGUGAUGACGGUACUGUAAGAAUAAGGACCGGCUAACUCCGUGCCAGCAGCCGCGGUAAUACGGAGGGUCCGAGCGUUAUCCGGAAUUAUUGGGUUUAAAGGGUCCGCAGGCGGUCAAUUAAGUCAGAGGUGAAAUCCCAUAGCUCAACUAUGGAACUGCCUUUGAUACUGGUUGACUUGAAUCAUAUGGAAGUAGAUAGAAUGUGUAGUGUAGCGGUGAAAUGCAUAGAUAUUACACAGAAUACCGAUUGCGAAGGCAGUCUACUACGUAUGUACUGACGCUGAGGGACGAAAGCGUGGGGAGCGAACAGGAUUAGAUACCCUGGUAGUCCACGCCGUAAACGAUGGAUACUAGUUGUUGGGCAUUAGCUCAGUGACUAAGCGAAAGUGAUAAGUAUCCCACCUGGGGAGUACGGUCGCAAGACUGAAACUCAAAGGAAUUGACGG